GAGUUUGAUCUUGGCUCAGAUUGAACGCUGGCGGCAUGCUUUACACAUGCAAGUCGAGCGGCAGCGCGGGGCAACCUGGCGGCGAGCGGCGAACGGGUGAGUAAUGCAUCGGAACGUGUCCGGGAGUGGGGGAUAACGCCGCGAAAGCGGCGCUAAUACCGCAUAUGCUCUUUGGAGGAAAGCGGGGGACUCGCAAGGGCCUCGCGCUCGCGGAGCGGCCGAUGUCCGAUUAGCUGGUUGGUGGGGUAACGGCCUACCAAGGCGACGAUCGGUAGCUGGUCUGAGAGGAUGAUCAGCCACACUGGGACUGAGACACGGCCCAGACUCCUACGGGAGGCAGCAGUGGGGAAUUUUGGGACAAUGGGGGCAACCCUGAUCCAGCCAUGCCGCGUGCGGGAAGAAGGCCUCGG
Molecule: ribosomal RNA, 410 nt
Filed under: uncultured beta proteobacterium
Lineage: Bacteria; Pseudomonadati; Pseudomonadota; Betaproteobacteria
Description: bacterial SSU rRNA
Rfam family: Bacterial small subunit ribosomal RNA
Source: RNAcentral